Cinara cedri is the source of this 1346-nucleotide non-coding RNA. Lineage: Eukaryota; Metazoa; Arthropoda; Insecta; Hemiptera; Aphididae. The record is from the annotation of a GenBank genome assembly.
GUGAUGUUUUAUUAUUGAUUUUAAUUGAUAUAGACAUUUUAAAGUAAUUUACUAGUAAAGUAAGUACCUAUUUAAAAUAAUGUGAAUGAGUGAUCAACAAGCCAUGACUAAGGAUUUUUUAGGGGUUUUGGGUUGCACUAUAAUUUCAUAAUAUUGUAAUAAUAAUUAAUUAUUGAUAAUGCUUAGUUAUAAAAUAUCAUGUUUAAACUUAGUUUCAAAUUUUAUGAAAAUGUUAUUAAGUACUGGGGCUUCUAAAAUAUUAUUAACCAGACUUAGUGAUCAACAUCCAGUUUAUAUCAUAGUUACUUUUUACUUUUUUAAUAGUAUAUUAACAUACACAGUUGAAUAAACUAAAAUACAAAAAUAUACUGAUAAUUAAUUGUAAUUGAAAUCAGUCAGUAAAAGGCAGCACACCUUUAGCACAAAAAUGUGCAAUACAAACUUACCUAAAGGUAUCUAAAUAUGUUUAUUUAUUCAUAUUUAAAUUUCGAUUUAUAAUUUUAUUAGUUAUGGACAAAUUUUUUUAUGGGUUUAUAAUAACUCCUGGUGUUCAGUUAAGUUCAGUUCGAAAUUAAAGCUGAAUAAUGCAAAUGGUCAAAUGGAACUUAAUAUUUGAAAAUCUAACUUAUUUUAUUGAAGAGGAAUACAACAAUGAAUUGAAAUUUAUUUUGGGUUAUAUCAGUUAGCAAAAUGUAAUUGGGUAUUAAUUUCUAAAAUAUACAUAUUAACUCUUGCCAUCAAAACACAGAAUACUAUUUUUAAAUAUUGCAAUAUUUGAUAUAGUUUAGAAUUUUAAACAGUUAGAUUAUUUUUUUAAAGUCCUAUUUAGAUUUAAAUAUAAAUUGUAAGUUAAGUUUAGUUUGAUUAAAAUUUAGUGUUUGUAACACCACUAAACAAGAUUAUACUUUUUAACUCAACUUGUAUGAAAAAAAAUUAAUAUUACACUGCAGUUCAUUCAAAUUGGAGUUUGGUAUAAGUAGCCCCAAACUCGAGGUACGGCUCAAACGACUGGCCACCCAAUUCUUUUGUAGGUGCCAGUGGUAAGAAAUGUAUAUAUUAAAAAUAUUUAUAGUAUUUAGUAUUUAUAGAAAAUAAAACUAUAAAAAAAGUACUAUGAAUUAUGUAAUAUAAUUUAUAUAUUAUGUUAUAUAAUAUAAUAAUCGGACUGGUUUGCCAAAUAUUUUUAAACUUCUCAAACACCACAGAACUAGUAACUAAAAAACAAAUUGAUUAGAAUAAUCAAAUACCGUAUAUACAUAAAUGAAUCUUUGUGUUAUUUAAACAUAAAUAUUAAAGAUUUAUAGAGAUCAAAGAAAAGUUUUCUUCAAAUAAAGAAAACCAAAAUC